Molecule: ribosomal RNA, 531 nt
Filed under: uncultured actinomycete
Lineage: Bacteria; Bacillati; Actinomycetota; Actinomycetes; Actinomycetales
Description: bacterial SSU rRNA
Rfam family: Bacterial small subunit ribosomal RNA
Source: RNAcentral
CGCGGCCUAUCAGCUUGUUGGUGGGGUAUGGCCUACCAUGGCUUCGACGGGUAGCCGGCCUGAGAGGGUGACCGGCCACACUGGGACUGAGACACGGCCCAGACUCCUACGGGAGGCAGCAGUGGGGAAUAUUGCACAAUGGGCGGAAGCCUGAUCCAGCGACGCCGCGUGAGGGAUGACGGCCUUCGGGUUGUAAACCUCUUUCAGCAGGGACGAAGCGCAAGUGACGGUACCUGCAGAAGAAGCACCGGCCAACUACGUGCCAGCAGCCGCGGUAAUACGUAGGGUGCGAGCGUUGUCCGGAAUUAUUGGGCGUAAAGAGCUCGUAGGCGGUGUGUCGCGUCGGCUGUGAAAACCUGGGGCUUAACUCUGGGCUUGCGGUCGAUACGGGCAAACUAGAGUUGGCAGGGGAGACUGGAAUUCCUGGUGUAGCGGUGAAAUGCGCAAAUAUCAGGAGGAACACCGGUGGCGAAGGCGGGUCUCUGGGACAUACUGACGCUGAGGACGCAAAGCGUGGGGAGCGAACAGGAU